Molecule: ribosomal RNA, 253 nt
Filed under: uncultured bacterium
Lineage: Bacteria
Description: partial 16S ribosomal RNA
Rfam family: Bacterial small subunit ribosomal RNA
Source: RNAcentral
UACGUAGGGCGCAAGCGUUAUCCGGAAUUAUUGGGCGUAAAGGGCUCGUAGGCGGUUUGUCGCGUCUGCCGUGAAAGUCCGGGGCUCAACUCCGGAUCUGCGGUGGGUACGGGCAGACUAGAGUGAUGUAGGGGAGAGUGGAAUUCCUGGUGUAGCGGUGAAAUGCGCAGAUAUCAGGAGGAACACCGAUGGCGAAGGCAGGUCUCUGGGCAUUAACUGACGCUGAUGCGCGAAAGCGUGGGGAGCAAACAGG